UACGUAGGGACCAAGCGUUGUUCGGAUUUACUGGGCGUAAAGGGCGCGUAGGCGGCGCGGUAAGUCGCUUGUGAAAUCUCUGAGCUUAACUCAGAACGGCCAAGUGAUACUGCAGUGCUAGAGUGUGGAAGGGGCAAUCGGAAUUCUUGGUGUAGCGGUGAAAUGCGUAGAUAUCAAGAGGAACACCUGAGGUGAAGACGGGUUGCUGGGCCAACACUGACGCUGAUGCGCGAAAGCCAGGGGAGCAAACGGG
This 253-nucleotide ribosomal RNA is filed under the name uncultured bacterium. RNAcentral's name for it is "partial 16S ribosomal RNA". It matches the Rfam family "Bacterial small subunit ribosomal RNA", at positions 524 to 776 of the family's 1533-position model. The record is from RNAcentral.